GGGAAGGUGGCUCAGUGGUAGAGUGCUUGCCUCGCAUGCAUGAAGCCCUGGGUUUGAUUCCUCAGUUCCA
Molecule: transfer RNA, 70 nt
Filed under: Dipodomys ordii (Ord's kangaroo rat)
Lineage: Eukaryota; Metazoa; Chordata; Mammalia; Rodentia; Heteromyidae
Rfam family: tRNA
About the family: Transfer RNA (tRNA) molecules are approximately 80 nucleotides in length. Their secondary structure includes four short double-helical elements and three loops (D, anti-codon, and T loops). Further hydrogen bonds mediate the characteristic L-shaped molecular structure. tRNAs have two regions of fundamental functional importance: the anti-codon, which is responsible for specific mRNA codon recognition, and the 3' end, to which the tRNAs corresponding amino acid is attached (by aminoacyl-tRNA synthetases). tRNAs cope with the degeneracy of the genetic code in two manners: having more than one tRNA (with a specific anti-codon) for a particular amino acid; and 'wobble' base-pairing, i.e. permitting non-standard base-pairing at the 3rd anti-codon position.
Source: Rfam by way of RNAcentral